GCGGGGGCACGGGGGGAGGAAAGUAGGGGAUCGUAAGACCUUGCGCUUUUGGAGCGGCCGAUGCCUGAUUAGCUAGUUGGUGGGGUAAUGGCCUACCAAAGCUUCGAUCAGUAGCUGGUCUGAGAGGACGGCCAGCCACACUGGGACUGAGACACGGCCCAGACUCCUACGGGAGGCAGCAGUGGGGAAUUUUGGACAAUGGGCGCAAGCCUGAUCCAGCCAUGCCGCGUGAGUGAAGAAGGCCUUCGGGUUGUAAAGCUCUUUCAGCCGGGAAGAAAAGGUUGCGAUUAAUAAUCGCAAUUUAUGACGGUACCGGAAGAAGAAGCACCGGCUAACUACGUGCCAGCAGCCGCGGUAAUACGUAGGGUGCGAGCGUUAAUCGGAAUUACUGGGCGUAAAGGGUNCGCAGGCGGUUUUGUAAGUCAGA
Molecule: ribosomal RNA, 427 nt
Filed under: uncultured ammonia-oxidizing bacterium
Lineage: Bacteria
Description: bacterial SSU rRNA
Rfam family: Bacterial small subunit ribosomal RNA
Source: RNAcentral